Molecule: ribosomal RNA, 198 nt
Filed under: uncultured bacterium
Lineage: Bacteria
Description: partial 16S ribosomal RNA
Rfam family: Bacterial small subunit ribosomal RNA
Source: RNAcentral
ACGCUCGACACCUACGGGAUGCAGCAGUGAGGGAUAUUCGGCAAUGGGGGAAACCCUGACCGAGCAACGCCGCGUGAGGGAAGACGGUUUUCGGAUUGUAAACCUCUGUCCUCUGUGAAGAUAGUGACGGUAGCAGAGGAGGAAGCUCCGGCUAACUACGUGCCAACAGCCGCGGUAAUCUGAGCGGGCUGGCAAGGC